AAUAACCAAAGAUAACUGCGGGGUUGAGGGUGGGGUUAGAGAUGACGCGAACGUCUCCACCACCAGGAGCCCAGGUGUCGUACAAACCGCCAAAGAACAUGGCUUUCAGUACCAGCAACAAGGCUCCACAUCCCAAAAUAAUCAGGUGGAAACCAAUGAUGCUGGUCAUUUUGUUCUUAUCUUUCCA
This 187-nucleotide antisense RNA is filed under the name Chroococcidiopsis thermalis PCC 7203. RNAcentral describes it as "Antisense RNA which regulates isiA expression". It matches the Rfam family "Antisense RNA which regulates isiA expression". Lineage: Bacteria; Bacillati; Cyanobacteriota; Cyanophyceae; Chroococcidiopsidales; Chroococcidiopsidaceae. The record is from Rfam by way of RNAcentral.